ACAAAGGACUAUAGAAAACACAAAUAAAACAAGCGUUUUCAAAAAUCAAGAAGAAUAAAAAAACUCUAAAAAAGAAAAAAACCAAAAAAGUAAAAGUUAAGAAAAAAUCUAAUACAAAAGGAAGUAGUAAUUAACUUCCAAUUGUAAACGAAUUGUAUGAGCAAAAGAAUGAAAACUCAACAACCGCUUUCAGUUAGAAAAGAUCGUGUACAAAUGAUGUUGAAAUCGAUGACAGUCGAGGUUGUUUAUAUACUUUUGCGAUUUAAAAACCGCCAGAUAAUUGAGGACUGGUAGAAAAUCCAGCACAUGACCUUGCGUAAUGCAGCCAGCAUUUUCAUGCGAUAGAUGAACAAAAGUGCCGCUCUCUCACCACGUAAGAUCCGCCAGCGCAGUGAUUCAUUUGCGCUAAAUACUCAAUAAAAUGUAAGGAAGUAAUGUUUUAACAUGCUUAACCAUAAAAAGCGAAGUAUCGAGGGAAUUUCCACUUGGUUUCGGUCCAAAAGUUAAAAUAUAUCCGCAAUUGGUGGAAAAAAAUCCUCUUCCUUUAUCAACCAAGUGCACCUCGGCUUGGCCAAAGCAUAGUCAGUAUCGAUUUGCUACCAGCAAAGAGCAGUCACGGAAACCAAGAAAGAGGUUGGAUAGUAGGUUGACCCUUGCAAAUCCUUGAAGAUGCGGACAGUUUAACUAUCAGCUCGUUUAGUGGAAUGGAAAAUCAGCUGUUGUAAAGAGUCCACCGUGAACCAAAAAGUCAAGCGAUAUCUCGUAAGCAUCGUAAAACAAGUCCGUGCGCAAUCCUGCCACCUUCUACAUUGCAUUUAGUAGAUAGAGAUAAUUGAAGCCUUUUUAAUACAACGUUCAUGAACUCAGUAAAACCAGUUUUCUUAAAAAUUAUGGUAAACUAGAUGCGAAAGUCGGAAGAGUGAAACUCCAUGCGCGCUUUCAAAAUUAGCGAUAUUUUAUUUUCAAGUGAAAAAAAUGAGUAAUGAAAGGCGCGACUAACUGAACGUGACUGCAGAAAUUUUUAAUUUCAUACCGAAAUCGUACAUGGAUGUAAAUUUAGGGAAAGUCUCUUGAUAUUGACAAAUGGUUAGCAUUAUAAUCCAGAACAGUCUGCAUCCCAAAAUGACUAGACACAAUGAAGGUUAAUAACAUUAGUCUACCAAGCCUACGGAGCAAUCUCUCAAUUCCCAAAAAUAGACACAGUUUUAAUUCUCCUUACUUAUGAUCGUUUUACAAACACCGAAUUUUAAUCAAUAAUCGUUGAAUGCAUGUUGCUCAUUGUCAAACUUCUUCCGAUUACUUGAACGUGGGAAUCCUAUCCAAUUGACAUUCGUCUUCCCAGAAAAAAAUUUUGUAGGGAAGAAUUGAAUCAUUGAAAGACACGUUUUUAAAACAAUUGGAAAUAAAUUAUGUUGUAAUAGAAAAAAAACAAAGUUUAUGCAACUUUUCGCACUUCGGUCACCAACGACGCUGGUUAACGAAAAACGGAACUAACUUAAUUCCGUUCCUUUUGAAGGUUUUGCAUCUAGAGACAAAGAAUUGCAAUAUCGUGCAUUUUAAUUCUGUUUAAUGAUAAAUGGUCGUCACAAUUGCUUCUAAUUAAGUUGACAGCUAGCUAGCUCAAUUUGCUGGACGCUGGGAAAAGCAACUAACUAUUGGAGUAGUUGAUCGGUAUCAGGGCGAUUGACGACUAGCACACAGACGGAAACAUGGAUUUCGAUCCGUUUUUGCGGAAGUACUCCCAAAACUAAUAUCCAGCACUGAUGCUUAAUGGAGAGCAUUAAAGCAUGAUUCGUUCAGGUAAUUGAAAAACGGUAAUUUCAGGUGAAAAAAAAAAUUUACUAUCAGGACCUUUGCAUUCUCAAUAGGAUAAAUGAACAUAGCUUUAUCCGGCAAUUCCUAAAUUUGAUCCAUGUAUAUCAACGAAUCUCCUUGAAACAUGGUAAUAUAGGAAGCAACGAAGCUUUCAUACAGAAGUGUCGUUUUAUUCAUUUAACAACGCUUAGGUUUUUCUAUUGGUAUAUUCAACGAUAAUGCAAAUGAUUUAAAGCAAGCAAAAAAUGAUGCCUUUUUUUGACAGAGUUUUUUUGGUUUGAAUAAACCGGAGUAGGCGAACAAAAUUAUUCACAUAAAUAAGACUGCAGAAAUCACCAGAUUUUCUUAAGCUACAUUUUGUCUACGAUCCACAAAGAUUUCACCUUGAGUAAGAGUCAGAGAACAUACUUGGAAAAUGAGGUUGUGAAUGGGAAUUCAAAGGUAUAUAUAUAUAUGUAUGUUUGUAACAGCUAGGCAAGUUAUUUAUAACAGGUACAGAAAUAUGUGUACCCGAAUGCUCCUUCACAAAGACAAAUCGAGUGGACAACCGCUAAGCGAAACCUAUCAAUAGAAGUGUUCAUCAAUAGACGAGGUAGCGUAUGCUAUUAAUAGGCUAAACUUAAAUAUAACUAGCAAAUCAUUUCGCAAAACGAUUAUUAUCAAUUACAUAAAAAUGGGGAGAAUCCACUUUCUUUGUUGUUUAAAACAAAGAAAUCUGGCUAUCUUUAUUAAAAUGACAUGACAUGUAAGAGAAUCAAUUAACAAUAGUGUGCAUAUCUGUGCCUUACUAUGGGAUUCUUAGGAGAACGCUAUUUCGCAGUAUUGCUGUACAAAGAUGUUACUAAAUUAUUUAAGAUAAUAAAAAUUACUAUAUGCAGUAGGAAGUUGAAACAGCUAAUAGAGUGAAAAAAACGAGAAUAUAGGACGCAAUUGGACGUUUUGGGCUAGUUAGCAAAUAAACUAAGAAUUAAAGGUUUAGAUUUCGAGGUGCAGUCAAACAAUUUGUUCGCUUUUCAUAGCUUAAAUGUGUUUACGAAAGUUUGCGGAGUGCAUUAAACUGAUCAGAUAGGAAAAAUGGAGAACAAAGAAAGUGAAUAUUUAAAAGGAUAGGCAUACUACAUACCUACGGUUUUGAAGAUAGUAUUAAAGGAAAUAUUGUUUUAACAUCUAUAUAUCACUAAUUCAAUAUUUUU
This 3008-nucleotide long non-coding RNA is filed under the name Schizosaccharomyces pombe (fission yeast). Lineage: Eukaryota; Fungi; Ascomycota; Schizosaccharomycetes; Schizosaccharomycetales; Schizosaccharomycetaceae. The record is from RNAcentral.